GCGGCGUGCCCCGCGGCCCUCCCCGCCACCGCAGCCCGCCCCUCCACCGAGCCAGGCCACGGCGUCGCCCCCUUCCCGCGGCAUCGGUAUCGGUCGGGUGUGUCUCGGUCCAGAUGCAUACAUAGGCUGGCGGAGGGCAUCGUUUUCCUCCGGAUUCCCUUCCCACCGGGCUGCUUCGUCACCAGAUCCGUCGUCCACUGACCCCAUCCUCUAUACAUACGGUCUGAUGAGUUGGUUUUGCUUGUGUUGUGAGGAGGCAUGUUGUGGUUAACAUCGAGUCAGGGUGCCUACCUUUGUAUUUGAAUCUGUGAGAUCUGGACCGUCAACCGCCAUGACCAUGAUCAACGCGUCCUCGGCCUCCUAGACGAGGAUGGAAUGAGCAGGGCAAGAGAAGAGGAGGGAGCAGGCCGACGCCCGACGGUGACCUGACCAUCCUCCUGGAUCUCACCGGCAACCCCCUGGCCUGGAGGCCGCCCGCCCGCCCGCCGUCAGUGCGGGGCCUGCGGCACCACUUCCUCGUGCUCCUCCUUAACAUCCAGGACCAGGACGACCACCGGGACCUCCAUGACGAUGACGAAGCCCCGCACAUGGUCGAGCUCGAUGGAACAACAGUGCCUCGGUGUGGUGCAGCCGAGUUGGGCCAACGACUACGUUAUGGUCCUCGUUAUGGUCGAGUUUUUGUUUUGACCUUGUGAAACUUGCUACCUAUGGAUGAAACUGUGUAAUAUUGAUGAAACUAUGUAUAUGUACGGAUGAAACUUGCUACUA
Long non-coding RNA from Triticum dicoccoides, 768 nucleotides. RefSeq lists it as uncharacterized. Lineage: Eukaryota; Viridiplantae; Streptophyta; Magnoliopsida; Poales; Poaceae. The transcript has 4 exons. The record is from RefSeq and is a predicted model, not a curated record.